AAAAAAAAAAAAAAAAAAACAAUCAGCCUACAUCAUGUCGUCUUUCUGGGUUCGGCCGCAAAAUUCCGUCCACACAUCGCAUGCAAUAUCCUCCAGUCCAAGGCACCGGGAAAAUAUCUCCUUGAAUGCCUUAUCCAGGCCUGACAUGAUGCCUGGUCAAUAUCUCCACAUGCCUCCUCCAUUGCCUGUAAAAGUGCUACCUGUUGAUGAGGAUGACGGUCGUACACUUUCCAGAACUCCUCAAUGGGAUUUACGUAAGAAUGGAGAGUAUGGAGGGAGGUUGAGUGCCAUGAAGAAUGUGUGGUCUGUAAACCAGUUGCGGACCAAAGCAGCCCUAUGGAAACUAACAUUGUCCCAUAUGAUGACAUAUCGGGUAUGCUCUUCAACUCCACAUCCUCUCCCUCUGCCUCCUUGUCCUCUUCUAGCUCCUUCCUCCAACUUCUUCACCUCCACGUCCUUUUCCUCCAACUUCUUCACCUCCAUGUCCUCUCCCCCGGCCUCCUCUGAUUCUCACUCUUCUCACUCUUACUGCUCCUUCCAUUGUACUCCACACAGACAGCGUACCUGUGACUUAUUUAUAGUGCUUAGGCUGAUUGCAAAGUUAACUAAUUUUCUAAAACAGUUUUCACAUGUGAAAGUGAGCCAGACAGUUGGCAAAAUAGUGUUAAUGAUAGCCAUACAUGUGUAUAAUUUUGCUAGGAGUGUGUUGGAAAUUUGGUAAUUGAGUGUAAGCAGUGAGUUGUGUUUAAAGUUCUGCAAAAAUAGUGUUGUGCAGUGAAUUGUGCCUACAGUUUUGCAAACUCAGUGAGUGGUUUUGCUAUACGUAUUAAUAGUUUUAGAAAUUGUGCUACAAGAAUCACGAUUAGCGCUUAAGCAUUCAGAAA
This is a non-coding RNA of Pimephales promelas (fathead minnow), 884 nucleotides long. The record is from RefSeq and is a predicted model, not a curated record. Lineage: Eukaryota; Metazoa; Chordata; Actinopteri; Cypriniformes; Leuciscidae.